RNAcentral lists this ribosomal RNA (255 nucleotides) under uncultured bacterium. RNAcentral describes it as "partial 16S ribosomal RNA". It matches the Rfam family "Bacterial small subunit ribosomal RNA", at positions 524 to 776 of the family's 1533-position model. The record is from RNAcentral.
UACGUAGGGUGCGAGCGUUAAUCGGAAUUACUGGGCGUAAAGCGUGCGCAGGCGGUUUUGUAAGUCAGAUGUGAAAUCCCCCGGGCUCAACCUGGGAACUGCGUUUGAAACUACAAGGCUAGAGUGUAGCAGAGGGGGGUAGAAUUCCACGUGUAGCAGUGAAAUGCGUAGAGAUGUGGAGGAAUACCAAUGGCGAAGGCAGCCCCCCUGGGUUAACACUGACGCUCAUGCACGAAAGCGUGGGGAGCAAACAGG